GCGUUGUCGUGCUGUCUCAUCCCUCACGGGUGGUUGCCGGGCGAAAGCCCAGUCUUGGCUCCUUUGAGCCCCGACGGACGGCGGCGGCGGUUUUCCGUUGUUUCUCUUCUUGAAGACGUCGUUUUGGCAUCCCUUAGCCGAAGCCUCUCGAUCGCGGUCGGUCCGAUGUUAGCCUUCUCCCGAUUAUAUGUCUUGGCGCUGUUGGUGUGUGGGUGGCAGUAUAAUUUUUUUCUUUUUCCUGGUUACGACCCUCCAGGGUUGUAA
This 264-nucleotide long non-coding RNA is filed under the name Oryza sativa Indica Group (long-grained rice). RNAcentral describes it as "lncRNA OsPr106_05g0001450". Lineage: Eukaryota; Viridiplantae; Streptophyta; Magnoliopsida; Poales; Poaceae. The record is from RNAcentral.